GUGAGGAGCAUCUCUGCCCGGCUGCCCCGUCUGAGAAGUGAGGAGACCCUCCGCCUGGCAACCGCCCCGUUUGAGAAAUGGGACCAUGUAGAUACAGGAAAACAAGCUCAGGGCUCCAACUGAUUCUACAUCAUGAUAUCCUUUCAGGUCCUGCACACCAGUGAAACUAAUGAGGUCAGCUGAUCUGAAGGACCCCAUCGACAUCAGCAGUUCUGAAGGAUCAUACAAGGAGCUGACUCACUGAAUGCAGUUUCCACAUCCUGACGACUUCAUCCCUUUGACCCCAACCACUCAAUGACCCCAAUUUUCCAGUCCCUCAUUCUCCACAAUCCCCUUAAAAACCCCAGCCCAGAACUCCUCAGGGAGAUGGACUUGAAGAUCUCCUCUCAUCUCCUUGCUCAGCCGCCCUGCAAUCAUUAAACUCUUUCUCUGCUGCAAACCCUACUGUCUCAGUGUAUUGGUAUGUUGCUGUGCAGUGGGCAUACAAAC
RNAcentral lists this long non-coding RNA (489 nucleotides) under Homo sapiens (human). RNAcentral describes it as "HSALNT0189909". Lineage: Eukaryota; Metazoa; Chordata; Mammalia; Primates; Hominidae. The record is from RNAcentral.